RNAcentral lists this long non-coding RNA (649 nucleotides) under Equus caballus (horse). RNAcentral describes it as "lncRNA (ENSECAG00000050542.1)". The record is from RNAcentral. Lineage: Eukaryota; Metazoa; Chordata; Mammalia; Perissodactyla; Equidae.
GUACAGGGUAUCAAGUGCUUUAAUCAGAAAAAUAACAAAAAGUUAUGUAAACACAGCUUACCGUGAGUAAAUUUGUCACACUAAGAUAUUCAGGUUGUACCAUUUAGGAAAUAGUUUAACCACAAAGGACAUUAAGCAAUGCAUGCAAUAAGUUCAAUUUAAAUUCAUUGCAGAGCUGUGGCAGAGAUGGACUAGAAGCCCACCAAUCUAUUUCCUUUUUCUGAGCACAAAAGAAAACAACAUUUCCCAAUCUCUCUAGCAGUUAGGUUGAGAUGAUGUCACAAUGGAAAAUGGGCCAAAGUAGUAUAUGCCAAUACUACUCAAAGUGUGGUCUGGGGUACACUGCUCAUUCAUGAAUUGUUUCUUGAUGGUCCACAAUGACGUAAAGCACAUUCUCUCCAAGAUCGUCAGAUUCCCUUUGGCCUUCAGAGAGCUGGAUUCCUGGGUAUUGGAAAAAGCCCACAGCCACGUUCAUUUCCGGUAGUCUUGAUUUGUGAACUCUUCUCUAAAAUCCACAAAAGCUCCUAAGCUCUGGGGCAAAAGGAACUGUGUCUGGCUGUGAGUCAUGCUUGAGGCAAGAAAUAAACAAUAGUUUGGAGACACAACAAUAAAUCUCCUCUAGGACUGAUUUGAGAAUUCAGUAAGAUAU